Molecule: ribosomal RNA, 904 nt
Filed under: uncultured bacterium
Lineage: Bacteria
Description: bacterial SSU rRNA
Rfam family: Bacterial small subunit ribosomal RNA
Source: RNAcentral
AGAGUUUGAUCAUGGCUCAGGACGAACGCUGGCGGCGUGCUUAACACAUGCAAGUCGAGCGGGGAUGCAGGAAGUUUUCGGACGGAGAGCAUUUCAGCGGCGGACGGGUGAGUAACGCGUGAGCAAUCUGUCCCAGACAGGGGAAUAACAGAUGGAAACAUCUGCUAAUACCGCAUAAGACCACGAAGUCACAUGGCUUUGGGGUAAAAGGCGAAAGCCGGUUUGGGGUGAGCUCGCGUCCGAUUAGCUAGUUGGCGGGGUAACGGCCCACCAAGGCGACGAUCGGUAGCCGACCUGAGAGGGUGACCGGCCACACUGGAACUGAGAUACGGUCCAGACUCCUACGGGAGGCAGCAGUGGGAAUAUUGGGCAAUGGGGGAAACCCUGACCCAGCAACGCCGCGUGAGGGAAGAAGGUUUUCGGAUUGUAAACCUCUGUCCUUGGUGAAGAAGGAAGUGACGGUAGCCAAGGAGGAAGCCCCGGCUAACUACGUGCCAGCAGCCGCGGUAAUACGUAGGGGGCGAGCGUUGUCCGGAAUGACUGGGCGUAAAGGGCGUGUAGGCGGCCGAUUAAGUCUGGAGUGAAAGUCCUGCUUUCAAGGUGGGAAUUGCUUUGGAAACUGGUUGGCUUGAGUGCGGAAGAGGUAAGUGGAAUUCCCAGUGUAGCGGUGAAAUGCGUAGAGAUUGGGAGGAACACCAGUGGCGAAGGCGACUUACUGGGCCGUAACUGACGCUGAGGCGCGAAAGCGUGGGGAGCGAACAGGAUUAGAUACCCUGGUAGUCCACGCGGUAAACGAUGAAUGCUAGGUGUAGGGGGUAUCGACCCCUCCUGUGCCGGAGUAAACACAAUAAGCAUUCCGCCUGGGGAGUACGGCCGCAAGGUUGAAACUCAAAGGAAUUGACGG